AGUGAACGCUGGCGGUAGGCCUAACACAUGCAAGUCAAACGGCAGCACAGGAGAGCUUGCUCUCUGGGUGGCGAGUGGCGGACGGGUGAGGAAUACAUCGGAAUCUACUUUUUCGUGGGGGAUAACGUAGGGAAACUUACGCUAAUACCGCAUACGACCUACGGGUGAAAGCAGGGGACCUUCGGGCCUUGCGCGAUUGAAUGAGCCGAUGUCGGAUUAGCUAGUUGGCGGGGUAAAGGCCCACCAAGGCGACGAUCCGUAGCUGGUCUGAGAGGAUGAUCAGCCACACUGGAACUGAGACACGGGCCAGACUCCUACGGGAGGAAGCAGUGGGGAAUAUUGGACAAUGGGCGCAAGCCUGAUCCAGCCAUACCGCGUGGGUGAAGAAGGCCUUCGGGUUGUAAAGCCCUUUUGUUGGGAAAGAAAUCCAGCUGGCUAAUACCCGGUUGGGAUGACGGUACCCAAAGAAUAAGCACCGGCUAACUUCGUGCCAGCAGCCGCAGUAA
RNAcentral lists this ribosomal RNA (506 nucleotides) under uncultured bacterium. Its description in RNAcentral is "partial 16S ribosomal RNA". It matches the Rfam family "Bacterial small subunit ribosomal RNA", at positions 29 to 523 of the family's 1533-position model. The record is from RNAcentral.